UGGGGGAUAUUGCACAAUGGGCGAAAGCCUGAUGCAGCGACGCCGCGUGGGGGAUGAAGGCCUUCGGGUUGUAAACUUCUUUUGCUCUGAACAAGGCAUGCCUUUGGGGUGUGUUGAGUGUAGGGGUUGAUUAGCGCCGGCUAACUACGUGCCAGCAGCCGCGGUAAUACGUAGGGCGCGAGCGUUGUCCGGAAUUAUUGGGCGUAAAGGGCUUGUAGGUGGCUGGUUGCGUCUGUCGUGAACGCUCAUGGCUUAACUGUGGGUUUGCGGUGGGUACGGGCUGGCUUGAGUGCAGUAGGGGAGGCUGGAAUUCCUGGUGUAGCGGUGGAAUGCGCAGAUAUCAGGAGGAAUACCGGUGGCGAAGGCGGGUCUCUGGGCUGUUACUGACGCUGAGGAGCGAAAGCGUGGGGAGCGAACAGG
RNAcentral lists this ribosomal RNA (420 nucleotides) under Fusobacteriota bacterium. Its description in RNAcentral is "Fusobacteria bacterium partial 16S ribosomal RNA". It matches the Rfam family "Bacterial small subunit ribosomal RNA", at positions 355 to 776 of the family's 1533-position model. Lineage: Bacteria; Fusobacteriati; Fusobacteriota. The record is from RNAcentral.